Hevea brasiliensis (rubber tree) is the source of this 645-nucleotide long non-coding RNA. RefSeq lists it as uncharacterized. The record is from RefSeq and is a predicted model, not a curated record. NCBI's taxonomy places the organism in Eukaryota, Viridiplantae, Streptophyta, Magnoliopsida, Malpighiales, Euphorbiaceae. The transcript is spliced from 4 exons.
CUUUGAUCUACAGUGAGUUUUAUUAGAGAUAUCUUUUGCCUGCCAUUGUAUGAUGUCUUUGGUCUUACAAUUUACAAUAUCUCUUCUACAUGUAGCUUGGAGCUUGGGUGCAUCAGAUGUUAGAACAGCAGAUGCCCUCAUCUGAUAUUCCAUCCAAAAUUCUUUGUCAAGUGAUCAAAAUUGAUCUUCAGCGAAGAGAGUUUACUGGCAGCAAUCCUGAACUCCUGAAACCUGCAGAAAGAUGCACAGUGAAUUCAUUUUAGAAAACGCUUACUGCUUCGGAUGUAAGCAAGCAUUGUACUUUAAAUAUUUAUCAAAAGCAUGCAUAGGAAUGUCUACCAGCAUUGGACAUGCAGCAACAGACACCUUGUCAACAAUUGAUUCCAAAAGAUCUGCAUGGCAACGAGUGGCAUUUCCAACAUGUUAAUCAGAGGUGUAAAUAUCAACUUGAACACCCAGUUGCAGAAAGUCGGAAGAAGGAAAGAACAAUUUUAAUAAUAUUUUUAGAGGUUAAUUAGUUCCCUUUUUUUUUUCUUGCAUUACAAAGACUCCAAAUUUUCUUUCCUAUUCAAGAAUUGUUGUUUAUGAGUUGUGCUUAGAAAUGAUGAAUAUUAUUAUACAAUAACUUUAAUUUUUUGAGUUGUA